AUCAUUGUAGCUUACCACUGGUAC
Molecule: non-coding RNA, 24 nt
Filed under: Arabidopsis thaliana (thale cress)
Lineage: Eukaryota; Viridiplantae; Streptophyta; Magnoliopsida; Brassicales; Brassicaceae
Source: RNAcentral